CACCAUUAAACCCUCGCAAAGUCCUCAAUCACACUCCUGUCCUCUGGGUGCUAUUCUGCCCUCGUCUCUUCCGAGAUUGAUUCAUUUCAGUACUCAGCAGAAGUCAGAAAUGGCUUGGCGCUCUGGAUCUCUGUCUCGCUCAUUGAUGAGCGCAGCUAGGGCUUCUCUUCGCCCUUCGCCGCCGUCUCCGCUUCCCCGUCUUCGGCCACCGCCACUUACCGCCCCUCUCCCUCGGCCCCGCCGCUUUUCGUCUGCCACUUCCAGGAGCUUGGGCGAACUGGGAUGCGCUCAAUCGCUUUUGCCACUGCAUAAUACUAGUACCUGUCUCACAUCGCACUUCGCUGUCAGCGCACGGGCUUGUUGCGAGCUGUCCCAUGGUACCUUCCGCCGUUCUUGUCAAGAUCGCUAGUAGUUUCUUUGUAGGAAUGGAAAAGAUGGGUGAUGCGCAAGGACAUGGAUCAUCCAAUGGCAUGAGAAGAAUGCUGCAUAGUGCAUAGUACCUGAGGGAGCUGUUGGAUCUACAUGGCUUGUUCAAGAAUAUCAAGCGAUGAUUUACCGGGUUGUGGUCUGUGGGGAGGUCACUUAGUUACCCCAAAAAAAUUAAAAAAAAAAAACUUGUGUAGGAGUCCUGAUUCCUGAUUGAGACUCUCUGUUUAUGCAAUUUCUAGUUUGAGGGAGGUUCUACUUCCUAUUUCUGAUUUGUGUAGGAAUGUCAGCUCUUGCUUAAUUCUUGUAUCUGGUCUCUUGGCUGCGUGCUAUAAUUGCUUCCUCUUUCAUUUCACUAUUCGGGAAUAA
RNA transcript from Neltuma alba, 795 nucleotides. RefSeq lists it as uncharacterized. The transcript is spliced from 4 exons. The record is from RefSeq and is a predicted model, not a curated record. Lineage: Eukaryota; Viridiplantae; Streptophyta; Magnoliopsida; Fabales; Fabaceae.